UUAUCCCUAAUGCCUAUUGCUGUGAUGCAGAAUUCACCAAGCAUUGGAUUGUUUGCCCACUAAUAGGGAACGUGAGCUGGGGUUGGACCACUGUGAGGCAGCUU
Molecule: non-coding RNA, 104 nt
Filed under: Anolis carolinensis (green anole)
Lineage: Eukaryota; Metazoa; Chordata; Lepidosauria; Squamata; Anolidae
Description: Eukaryotic large subunit ribosomal RNA
Rfam family: Eukaryotic large subunit ribosomal RNA
Source: Rfam by way of RNAcentral